This 533-nucleotide unclassified non-coding RNA is filed under the name Hevea brasiliensis (rubber tree). The record is from RNAcentral. Lineage: Eukaryota; Viridiplantae; Streptophyta; Magnoliopsida; Malpighiales; Euphorbiaceae.
GGCAGCCCGUUCUGCAGCUGGAGACAACACACAAAAGGAAUUAUAGAUCAAAAAUCAUUUGUUUCUGAUUUUGUUUCGUCAACAUGGCCACAGAAAGCAACAGCAAUUUCUUUUGCUGGCAAUCACCAGUAAGAAACUGGUUACCACAAUUGCCCACAGAUUGCCUCACAGCAGGCAGACGAGGGAAGGGAGAAAGAAAAUGUAGUAGUUGGCAUACAUGUGAUCUGCCUAAUUUUAAAGGUGAGUGGUUGGUUUUGAUGUUUGUUUAAUUACCGACCAUUAAAAUAUUCGAAAUCUAUCAUCGGUGGUGCUGUGUGAUUGGAGUUAUGCUAGUUGGGUUCAUGUAACCGGUAGUGAUUUUUGUGAGGGGAUGCGUAGGACCACUUUGAAAAGUUGUACAGAAAACACAUUUUUCCAUUGAUAAACUAGAUUGAGAUAAAUAUCUUAAAGACGGUUGUUUGUUGGAUGUUCCAUUGUACCCAGUUGUUGGGUCUGAAUGUUAAAUGUUUUGGCAUGUUCCUUUUUUAUCAAAA